UGGGGAAUAUUGCGCAAUGGGGGGAACCCUGACGCAGCCAUGCCGCGUGAAUGAAGAAGGCCUUAGGGUUGUAAAGUUCUUUCGGUAUUGAGGAAGGUUGAUGUGUUAAUAGCACAUCAAAUUGACGUUAAAUACAGAAGAAGCACCGGCUAACUCCAUGCCAGCAGCCGCGGUAAUACGGAGGGUGCGAGCGUUAAUCGGAAUAACUGGGCGUAAAGGGCACGCAGGCGGUUAUUUAAGUGAGGUGUGAAAGCCCCGGGCUUAACCUGGGAAUUGCAUUUCAGACUGGGUAACUAGAGUACUUUAGGGAGGGGUAGAAUUCCACGUGUAGCGGUGAAAUGCGUAGAGAUGUGGAGGAAUACCGAAGGCGAAGGCAGCCCCUUGGGAAUGUACUGACGCUCAUGUGCGAAAGCGUGGGGAGCAAGCAGGAUUAGAUACCCUGGUAGUCCACGCUGUAAACGCUGUCGAUUUGGGGGUUGGGGUUUAACUCUGGCGCCCGUAGCUAACGUGAUAAAUCGACCGCCUGGGGAGUACGGCCGCAAGGUUA
Molecule: ribosomal RNA, 547 nt
Filed under: uncultured bacterium
Lineage: Bacteria
Description: bacterial SSU rRNA
Rfam family: Bacterial small subunit ribosomal RNA
Source: RNAcentral